GUGGUUGGUGAUAGUAGGCACAAUACAAAUAAUAAGUUGAAAAUAAGCAUAGACACGGAGAUUUCCGAAUAGGUCAACCUUUCAAACUGCUGCUGAAUCCAUGGGCAGGCAAGAGACAACCUGGCGAACUGAAACAUCUUAGUAGCCAAAGGAAAAGAAAGCAAAAGCGAUUCCAGUAGUAGCGGCGAGCGAAAUGGGAGCAGCCUAAACCGUGAAAACGGAGUUGUGGGAGAGCAAUACAAGUGUCGUGCUGUUGGGCGAAGCGGUGGAGUACUGCACCCUAGAUGGUGAGAGUCCAGUAGCCGAAUGUAUCACUAGCUUACGCUCUGAACCGAGUAGCAUGAAGCACGUGGAAUCUGAACUUUACAUGUUUAAACUUUAAC
This 383-nucleotide non-coding RNA is filed under the name Daucus carota subsp. sativus. Its description in RNAcentral is "Bacterial large subunit ribosomal RNA". It matches the Rfam family "Bacterial large subunit ribosomal RNA", at positions 42 to 461 of the family's 2925-position model. Lineage: Eukaryota; Viridiplantae; Streptophyta; Magnoliopsida; Apiales; Apiaceae. The record is from Rfam by way of RNAcentral.